CGAUCCCCAAUUUAUUUCCACCAAGCUAACGCCUGCAUCAAUGUCAAGCUCUCGAUCCCCGGCGGCGGCGGCGGCGGCGGCGGCUGCGGCUGCUGCUGCUACCAGUUCCACCAGCGCGGAUCUUCAACACGCCGACGCAAGCGUCCCUCUCGUAGACAACGGCGCGAAGACGUCGUAGGCUUCAGGGGGAGGAUUCCCCCUGGGCAACGACGGUGGCGAUGGUGGUGGCCGCAUCGGCGGCUGCACUCAUCUUCUCGUCCUCGGCUGGUGGGUGAGUUGCAGCACUGAUUUCGCGUUGAGCCAUUUCCUGAUCGUGGAGAUCUGUUUAUCUAUGCUUACGAUCGCUUCCACGGUGUGAAUUUAUGGUUGUAUUACAAUUCGAUUUGGGGGCUGGAUCGAUAGAUCAAUGAGCAUGUCUUGCUAAAUCUGGUUCUUGGUUAAUUAACCUGUGCACUAUUAGGGUUUACAUCGAUGCAAUAUUAGGCAACACAUCGCUACUUUUCGUACGUGCCCUCUGGUCAUCGCUAUCUUAUAACAACACGAGCUACAAAUGCAGCUGGUUAGUUUUGUAACUCUGCAGCUCCACGUUGCAGUGCAGGAGAUUGGUGAGCCUUAUCUAAAUAUAUUGUGUGCACGACAUAUAAACAUGUUUGAAAUGUUGUUAUUUCUCGUGUUUCAUACAUCAACGUAAUGCCAUAAUUUCUGAUGAUCACAAAUGGACUCCGACCAUUGUUGGUUUCUGUAUCAGCCUAUUAGGGCAAUGGGCUUCUAUCCUGCCGUUAUCUUCAGAGAGCAGUGCACCUCAGUACUUCUCGUACGAUGGAUAUUAGGGUACAAGCAAAAAUAUAGAAAUGCCGAGUGGAAAGGGUUAGAUGUGUUCAAUAGUGUUAUAAUUGGAAAAUCUGGGGAAACUAUUAUGUAUCUCCAAUUUCAGUCAGGAGCAAAGAUUGAAGUAACAAGAGACAAUUGAGCUGAACCUGGUGCAUAUACAAGACAAGUUGAGCUUUUGGCCACUCCUGAGCAGAUAAGCAAACUGAGCAGUUGAUCAAAGCCGUUCAUAGAUAUUUACGGGUUUUUUUGCAUCCAUCAUAUUGGUAUUGCAAAGCUUCUGCAGGCUGAUGCUGGGCCAUCUGGUACUGGAUCUCUUGGCCGCAAGCAUAGUGCACCACAGCCAGUCCGACCACCAUCCCCAGUGGCCCAGCGGCUACCAGCUCCAACACAAGCGAUUUAUUUGUUCGAAGGAAGGUUGGAGGCAGGGGAAACACAAAUGGAAUAACAUGCCUAUGAGGUGUGGGUGUAAUUCCAUGAUUGAUUUCAGGAAGAAUGAUGAUGUUACAUAUCAGGUUGUUCAGUUUUUUGAAGCACACAGACAUGAGCAACCGAACCAUGCAAGAGAUAGCAGGCCAUCAUGGAACAGUACAGAGCUAGAUGCCUACAUCAUUGUCGAAGUGUGGCACUCAGUGCUGUGUAAUAUUAGUGCUACCAUGAUCAUGUGUGGUGUGUGUAACCUAUUCUUUAAAUGCGUAGUUGAUAAAAUUAGCUGGUAGCUAGAAUCCGUGUACAUGCCUGAUCAUCUGCAUUAUGUGCUGUGCAAGUUGUAAUCACCAUGUGCAGUAUUAUUCAUCUAGUAUCUUGUGAACAACUUUACCUAUUUGAAUGAUUUAUGAGAGUCCAAAUAAUUGAGAAUGUA
This is a long non-coding RNA of Panicum hallii, 1690 nucleotides long. RefSeq lists it as uncharacterized. Lineage: Eukaryota; Viridiplantae; Streptophyta; Magnoliopsida; Poales; Poaceae. The record is from RefSeq and is a predicted model, not a curated record. The transcript is spliced from 2 exons.